This 705-nucleotide long non-coding RNA is filed under the name Marmota monax (woodchuck). Lineage: Eukaryota; Metazoa; Chordata; Mammalia; Rodentia; Sciuridae. The record is from RNAcentral.
AACCGCGGUGGCUGGGCCUUUCUUCCUGUGUCCCAGGGAGCUGCCCCGCGGCACUAUGUGGCUGCUCGGUAAGUGUCCCCUGGCGCAGGCCAGGCUGGGAUUCCGCCGAAUGUAACUCAGCUGCCAAAAGAGGCCGGGCUGUGUGUAUCUCCGCUGUUCCCCGGGGACGUCCCUGUCCUCGGCCACCGGACAGGCAGGAGGUGGAAGCGUCCUGGCCCAGGUGCCUGCUGGGCCCUGGGACCUGGCUGGGGACUCAGGCUCACCGCGAUCGCCGACCCCCAGGCGCCCAGGAUGAGGGGCCCGGGACCCCGCGGCUCCACCCAGCCAGAGCCUGUCCCCGGGUCCCCAGGGGGGCCCCAGAAGCACCCGCCACCAGGGACAGCGUGACCAGCCUGGCUUUGUGUGGCUCUUUGUAUUGGAGGCGGGGACUGCGGGGCGGGCGGCCGUGAGCGGGCCCCGGUGGCCAGUGCAGCGUCCACAGCCGCCGCGGACACCAGGAGGGAGCAUGGUCAAGUUCAAGGCCAUCUGUCUGGAGUACUGGCAGCUGCUCUGCCUGCAGCCCCUGCCCGGCUACCAGAGGUGAGUGGACGCAGGGACUGUGGCCCCGGGACAUUGGGCCAGCACAGUCUGCUCCGCCACAGGACGCCCUCUGUCCCUUCCUGACACUGGGGGGCUCUGCCCCACAGGAGGGCAGCCACACAGGUG